RNAcentral lists this small RNA (477 nucleotides) under uncultured Diversispora. Its description in RNAcentral is "SSU rRNA". It matches the Rfam family "Eukaryotic small subunit ribosomal RNA", at positions 569 to 1049 of the family's 1831-position model. The record is from RNAcentral. Lineage: Eukaryota; Fungi; Glomeromycota; Glomeromycetes; Diversisporales; Diversisporaceae.
CGCAGCCGCGGUAAUUCCAACUCCAAUAGCGUAUAUUAAAGUUGUUGCAGUUAAAAAGCUCGUAGUUGAACUUCGGGGUUCACCCAUUGGUCAGGCUUAAUUGUCUGUACUGGUGAGAUAAAUCUCUACCUUCUGAGGAACUUUCAUGCCAUUUAUUUGGCGUGAUUGGAAAUCAGGACUAUUACUUUGAAAAAUUAGAGUGUUUAAAGCAGGCUAAAGUCUGAAUACAUUAGCAUGGAAUAAUGAAAUAGGACGGAUUGAUUCUAUUUCGUUGGUUUCUAGGAUCACCGUAAUGAUUAAUAGGGAUAGUUGGGGGCAUUAGUAUUCAAUUGUCAGAGGUGAAAUUCUUGGAUUUAUUGAAGACUAACUACUGCGAAAGCAUUUGCCAAGGAUGUUUUCAUUAAUCAAGAACGAAAGUUAGGGGAUCGAAGACGAUCAGAUACCGUCGUAGUCUUAACCAUAAACUAUGCCGACUAG